GACGAACGCUGGAGGCGUGCUUAACACAUGCAAGUCGAACGAUGAAAUGGAGCUUGCUCCAUGGAUUAGUGGCGAACGGGUGAGUAACACGUGAAUAACCUGCCCUUAAUUUUGGAAUAACCCAGGGAAACCUGGGCUAAUACCGGAUAAGUAAACCUGUGGCAUCACAUGGUUUUGGAAAGUUUUUCGAUUAAGGAUGGAUUCGCGGCCUAUCAGCUUGUUGGUGAGGUAAUGGCUCACCAAGGCGACGACGGGCAGCCGGCCUGAGAGGGCGAACGGCCACACUGGGACUGAGACACGGCCCAGACGCCUACGGGAGGCAGCAGUGGGGAAUAUUGCGCAAUGGACGAAAGUCUGACGCAGCGACGCCUCGUGAGGGACGAAGGUCUUCGGAUUGUAAACCUCUUUCAGCAGGGACGAAGCGAAAGUGACGGUACCUGCAGAAGAAGCACCGGCUAACUAUGUGCCAGCCGCCGCAGUAA
RNAcentral lists this ribosomal RNA (482 nucleotides) under uncultured bacterium. Its description in RNAcentral is "partial 16S ribosomal RNA". It matches the Rfam family "Bacterial small subunit ribosomal RNA", at positions 28 to 523 of the family's 1533-position model. The record is from RNAcentral.